Molecule: ribosomal RNA, 1751 nt
Filed under: Bacillota bacterium
Lineage: Bacteria; Bacillati; Bacillota
Description: Firmicutes bacterium (sediment metagenome) partial 23S ribosomal RNA
Rfam family: Bacterial large subunit ribosomal RNA
Source: RNAcentral
CGGCUAAGGUCCCCGAUGGGGGCUAAGUGAACUCAAAGGAGGUCGGACCCCAGCGACAGCCGGGCCGUGGGAUGAGAAGCGUCCACCGGCCAAAGAGUGGGUGAAACCUCACCGGCCGAGGGGUCCGGCGCCGAAAAUUCACGGGUCUCAAGCCCCCCACCGAAGCCGUGACUUGCGAGGCAGAAUCCGCCUCGCAAGGGUAGGGGAGCGUUCCCCGGCGGGUGAAGCUCCGGCGAAAGCCAGGGUGGACGCCGGGGAAGCGAGAAUGCCGGCACGAGUAGCGCCGUCCGGUGAGAAUCCGGACCGCCGCAAGCCUAAGGUUUCCGCGGCAACGUUCGUCGACCGCGGGUCAGGCGGCCCUAAGCCGAGGCCGAAAGGCGUAGGUGAUGGACAGCCGGCGAACAUCCCGGCCCCACCGGGGGCUUCUUCCGUCGGCGACGCGGGACCGCCGCGUCGGGGAGCGACAGGGUCUUCCCCGGCCAGGCCUAACCGCCGAGAAAAACCCGACGGAGCAACCCCCGGUGCCCGUACCUCAAACCGACACCGGUAGGCGAGGAGAGUAUCCUCAGGCGAGCGGAAGAACCCUACCUCAAGGAACUCGACAACUUGGCCCCGUACCUUCGGAAGAAGGGGUGUCCCGGCGUGCGCAAGCACGCCGGGAUCGCAGCGAAGCGGCCCGGGCGACUGUUUAUAAAAAACACAAGUCCCUGCUCAAGCCGUAAGGCGAUGUAUCGGGGCUGACGCCUGCCCAGUCCCGGAUCCUAAGGUCCCCGAGAGGGGGCCGAACCCCCGGGAAACGGCGUCCCGAUCCCAGAUCGGGACCGAAGGUAGCGGAAUGACUGGGCGGCUCAAUACCGCCGUGCACCAGCGGCGUAACGACCCGGGCGUUGUCUCGAGGAGGGAUCCGGCGAAACUCUGUUACCGGUGAACAUGCCGGUGACCCGCGGUAGGAUGGAGAGACCCCGGGGGCUUCACUACAGCCUGCCGUUGGGUCCCGACCGCGCCUGCAUAGGAUAGGUGGGAGCCCCAAUCGGCGACGUUGGAAUACCACCCUGGCGCGGAAGGGACCCUCACCUCCCCCGUGGAGGGGGAGGGACCGCGGCAGGUGGGUAGUUCCGGUUGGGACGGCACCCUCCUAAACCGUAACGGAGGGGCGCAAAGGUUGGCUCAGCCCGCUUGGAAACCGGGCAGGGCGGCCAAGGCCAUAAGCCAGCCUGACUGUGAGAGCCACCGCUCGAGCAGAGAGGAAACUCGGCCCUAGUGAAACGGCGGUACCUCGUGGGAGGGCCGCCGACAGCGGAUACAAGCGAAACCCGGGGACAUCGGGCCGGUCUCCCCCGCGAGACCCCAUCGCCGGGGAGGCUCGGCACCCCGCUACCGGCUCGCCCCAUCCUGGGGCCGCAGGAGGUCCCAAGGGUUGGUCUCCUCGACCAUCAAAGGGGUCCGUGAGCUGGGUCUAGGCCGACGCGAGUCAGGCCGUGCCUUAUCCACCGUGGGCAGCCGAGACUUGAGGGGAGCCGCCCCUAGUACGGGAGGAACGGGGCGGACGGACCGCUGGCGUACCGGUUGCCCCGCCAGGGGCACCGCCGGGUAACCAUGUCCGGAACGGAUAACCGCUGAAAGCCUCUAAGCGGGAAGCCGGCCCCAAGAUGAGGUCUCGUCACCAGGGCCCAAGAAGACGACCUGGUCGAUAGGCCGGGGGUGUAAGGGUCGCAAGGCCCUGAGCCGACCGGUACUAAUCGCCCGAACCC